UACGGAAGGCAGCAGUGGGGAAUAUUGCACAAUGGGCGCAAGCCUGAUGCAGCCAUGCCGCGUGUAUGAAAAAGGCCUUCGGGUUGUAAAGUACUUUUCAGUCGUGAGGAAGGUGUUAAGGUUAAUAACCUUAGCAAUUGACGUUAGCGACAGAAGAAGCACCGGCUAACUCCGUGCCAGCAGCCGCGGUAAUACGGAGGGUGCGGGCGUUAAAUCGGAAUUACUGGGCGUAAAGGGCACGCAGGCGGUUAAUUAAGUUGGAUGUGAAAUCCCCGGGCUUUAACCUGGGAAUGGCAUUCAAGACUGGUUAGCUAGAGUCUUGUAGAGGGGGUAGAAUUCCAUGUGUAGCGGUGAAAUGCGUAGAGAUGUGGAGGAUACCGGUGGCGAAGGCGGCCCCUGGCAAAGGCUGACGCUCGAUGUGCGAAAGCGUGGGGAGCGAAACAGGGAUUAGGAUACCC
Molecule: ribosomal RNA, 458 nt
Filed under: uncultured bacterium
Lineage: Bacteria
Description: bacterial SSU rRNA
Rfam family: Bacterial small subunit ribosomal RNA
Source: RNAcentral